This 538-nucleotide non-coding RNA is filed under the name Pan troglodytes (chimpanzee). Lineage: Eukaryota; Metazoa; Chordata; Mammalia; Primates; Hominidae. The record is from RNAcentral.
UUUCUCUCCCAGUGCUCAAAGGCUCCUGACUGUGGAGAGCUAAAGCUGCCAGGAGCUGCCUGCGCUUGCCAAGUGGUUGCAGAUGUUUCCUCCCUACUGCUCUGACUUUGCCAGGGUUUGUUGGUGUCUUGGGGUAAGAGGCUCUUCAGGCUGAAAGGUGAGCGGAGGCUGUCACAAGCUGGGGAGAUCUGGGUCACCCAAAGCAAACAUGAGCCCUUACUCAGAUCUCACAGCAAAGACCACCCCUGGAUCUGUCCAUGCAGAGGCCCAGGUCUCUGGUGAGAAAGGCAGAGGGGAGGAUCAAGCAUGGAAACUGGAGGGGGAAAGAACAGAACUCACAGGGGUAGACCAUUGACUCUAAGACACCUGCGCUUGGGCCUUAAUGUACAGCUCAGUUAAUCUUCACCUUUGCCCUGAGAGGUUGAAUUAUUAUCCCCAUUUUACAGGGGAGAAAACAAGCUAGGAGAGGAGGAAUGACUUGCUCAUGGUUGUGCAGCUAGUAGAAAAUUCUACCCUCUUGUGGUGGCACCAUUGUUUC